Molecule: ribosomal RNA, 497 nt
Filed under: uncultured bacterium
Lineage: Bacteria
Description: partial 16S ribosomal RNA
Rfam family: Bacterial small subunit ribosomal RNA
Source: RNAcentral
GAUGAACGCUGGCGGCGUGCCUAAUACAUGCAAGUCGAGCGAACGGACGAGAAGCUUGCUUCUCUGAUGUUAGCGGCGGACGGGUGAGUAACACGUGGAUAACCUACCUAUAAGACUGGGAUAACUUCGGGAAACCGUAGCUAAUACCGGAUAAUAUUUUGAACCGCAUGGUUCAAAAGUGAAAGACGGUCUUGCUGUCACUUAUAGAUGGAUCCGCGCUGCAUUAGCUAGUUGGUAAGGUAACGGCUUACCAAGGCAACGAUGCAUAGCCGACCUGAGAGGGUGAUCGGACAAACUGGAACUGAGACACGGUCCAGACUCCUACGGGAGGCAGCAGUAGGGAAUCUUCCGCAAUGGGCGAAAGCCUGACGGAGCAACGCCGCGUGAGUGAUGAAGGUCUUCGGAUCGUAAAACUCUGUUAUUAGGGAAGAACAUAUGUGUAAGUAACUGUGCACAUCUUGACGGUACCUAAUCAGAAAGCCACGGCUAACUACGUG